Molecule: transfer RNA, 62 nt
Filed under: Penthicodes caja
Lineage: Eukaryota; Metazoa; Arthropoda; Insecta; Hemiptera; Fulgoridae
Description: tRNA-Val
Source: RNAcentral
ACUUAUUUACAAUAAGUGGGUUUACUGUUCAAUUCAGUUGAGUCUGAUAGGUUUUUUUUUUU